GAUGAAGAACGCAGCGAAAUGCGAUAAGUAAUGUGAAUUGCAGAAUUCAGUGAAUCAUCGAAUCUUUGAACGCACAUUGCGCCCGCCAGUAUUCUGGCGGGCAUGCCUGUUCGAGCGUCAUUUCAACCAUCAAGCCCUGCUUGCGUUGGGGUCCUGCGGCUGCCCGCAGGCCCUGAAAACCAGUGGCGGGCUCGCUAGUCACACCGAGCGCAGUAAUACAUCUCGCUUUGGGCGUGCGGCGGGUUCUUGCCGUUAAACACCCCCUUUUUACCAAGGUUGACCUAGGAUCAGGUAGGAAUACCCGCUGAACUUAAGCAUAUCAAUAAGCGGAGGA
This 334-nucleotide unclassified non-coding RNA is filed under the name soil metagenome. RNAcentral describes it as "partial contains 5.8S ribosomal RNA, internal transcribed spacer 2, and large subunit ribosomal RNA". The stretch from base 1 to 120 matches the Rfam family "5.8S ribosomal RNA", at positions 35 to 154 of the family's 154-position model. The record is from RNAcentral.